AUUGAACGCUGGCGGAAUGCUUUACACAUGCAAGUCGAACGGCAGCACAGGGGCAACCCUGGUGGCGCGUGGCGAACGGGUGAGUAAUACAUCUGAACGUGCCCGGUCGUGGGGGAUAACGUAGCGAAAGUUACGCUAAUACCGCAUACGAUCUGAGGAUGAAAGCGGGGGACCUUCGGGCCUCGCGCGCUCGGAGCGGCCGAUGUCCGAUUAGUUAGUUGGUGGGGUAAAGGCCUACCAAGCCGACGAUCUGUAGCUGGUCUGAGGGGACGACCAGCCACACUGGGACUGAGACACGGCCCAGACUCCUGAGGGAGGCAGCAGUGGGGAAUUUUGGACAAUGGGCGCAAGCCUGAUCCAGCCAGUCCGCGUGCAGGACGAAGGCCUUCGGGUUGUAAACUGCUUUUGUAUGGAACGAAAAGGCUCUGGCUAAUACCUGGGGCUCAUGACGGUACCGGAAGAAUAAGCACCGGCUAACUACGUG
This 484-nucleotide ribosomal RNA is filed under the name uncultured bacterium. RNAcentral's name for it is "partial 16S ribosomal RNA". It matches the Rfam family "Bacterial small subunit ribosomal RNA", at positions 30 to 507 of the family's 1533-position model. The record is from RNAcentral.